CGGCGAGUGAAGCGGCAACAGCUCAAAUUUGAAAUCUGGCUCUCUUUGGGGGUCCGAGUUGUAAUUUGCAGAGGAUGCUUUGGCAUUGGCAGCGGUCUAAGUUCCUUGGAACAGGACAUCACAGAGGGUGAGAAUCCCGUACGUGGUCGCUUGCCUUUGCCGUGUAAAGCUCCUUCGACGAGUCGAGUUGUUUGGGAAUGCAGCUCUAAAUGGGAGGUAAAUUUCUUCUAAAGCUAAAUACUGGCCAGAGACCGAUAGCGCACAAGUAGAGUGAUCGAAAGAUGAAAAGUACUUUGGAAAGAGAGUCAAAAAGCACGUGAAAUUGUUGAAAGGGAAGCGCUUGCAGCCAGACUUGCCCGCAGUUGCUCACCUAGGCUUUCGCCUGGGGCACUCUUCUGCGGGCAGGCCAGCAUCAGUUUGGGCGGUUGGAUAAAGGCCUCUGUCACGUAUCUUCCUUCGGGAUGACCUUAUAGGGGAGGCGUAAUGCAACCAGCCCGGACUGAGGUCCGCGCAUCUGCUAGGAUGCUGGCGUAAUGGCUGUAAGCGGCCCGUCUUGAAACACGGACCAAGGAGUCUAACAUCUAUG
RNAcentral lists this ribosomal RNA (586 nucleotides) under Paraphaeosphaeria michotii. RNAcentral describes it as "partial large subunit ribosomal RNA". It matches the Rfam family "Eukaryotic large subunit ribosomal RNA", at positions 87 to 686 of the family's 3401-position model. Lineage: Eukaryota; Fungi; Ascomycota; Dothideomycetes; Pleosporales; Didymosphaeriaceae. The record is from RNAcentral.